RNAcentral lists this ribosomal RNA (438 nucleotides) under uncultured bacterium. RNAcentral describes it as "bacterial SSU rRNA". It matches the Rfam family "Bacterial small subunit ribosomal RNA", at positions 955 to 1392 of the family's 1533-position model. The record is from RNAcentral.
AUUAACGCCAAGAACCUUACCAAGGCUUGACAUGAACCGGAAAGGCGUAGGAAUACGUCCCCCACUUGUGGUCGGUUUACAGGUGGUGCAUGGUUGUCGUCAGCUCGUGUCGUGAGAUGUUGGGUUAAGUCCCGCAACGAGCGCAACCCUCGUUCUAUGUUGCCAGCACGUGAUGGUGGGGACUCAUAGGAGACUGCCGGGGUCAACUCAGAGGAAGGUGGGGAUGACGUCAAAUCAUCAUGCCCCUUAUGUCUUGGGCUUCACGCAUGCUACAGUGGCCGGUACAAAGGGUUGCGAUACUGUGAGGUGGAGCUAAUCCCAAAAAGCCGGUCUCAGUUCGGAUUGGGGUCUGCAACUCGACCCCAUGAAGUCGGAGUCGCUAGUAAUCGCAGAUCAGCAACGCUGCGGUGAAUACGUUCCCGGGCCUUGUACACACCG